GACGAACGCUGGCGGCGUGCUUAACACAUGCAAGUCGAACGGAAAGGCCCUGCUUUUGUGGGGUGCUCGAGUGGCGAACGGGUGAGUAACACGUGAGUAACCUGCCCUUGACUUUGGGAUAACUUCAGGAAACUGGGGCUAAUACCGGAUAGGAGCUCCUGCUACAUGGUGGGGGUUGGAAAGUUUCGGCGGUUGGGGAUGGACUCGCGGCUUAUCAGCUUGUUGGUGGGGUAGUGGCUUACCAAGGCUUUGACGGGUAGCCGGCCUGAGAGGGUGACCGGCCACAUUGGGACUGAGAUACGGCCCAGACGCCUACGGGAGGCAGCAGUGGGGAAUAUUGCACAAUGGGCGGAAGCCUGAUGCAGCAACGCCGCGUGCGGGAUGACGGCCUUCGGGUUGUAAACCGCUUUCGCCUGUGACGAAGCGUGAGUGACGGUAAUGGGUAAAGAAGCACCGGCUAACUACGUG
This 468-nucleotide ribosomal RNA is filed under the name uncultured bacterium. RNAcentral's name for it is "partial 16S ribosomal RNA". It matches the Rfam family "Bacterial small subunit ribosomal RNA", at positions 28 to 507 of the family's 1533-position model. The record is from RNAcentral.